CAACGAGAUUGGAUUGGAUUAGGUAGGGGGCUCGGGUUCGGGCGAGACAAAGGAACAGGAGGAGAGGGCAAAAGGCGUAGCGGCGGCGGGGGUGCGGGAGUUAAAGAGAGCGGUGACCUAAGCCGGCAGCGCCCUAGCUAAGGAGGCUCGUCGUCCACCAGAGCGUCCCGUGCAGGUGGCAGCCGCUGCGAGGGCGCCUAUCCGCUCAGACUGGGGUUGUCGUGACCGCGACGCAGCUCAACCGAGCCACGUCGCUGCUGCUCUAGAGGAGGAGUGGCUGGUUUAGCAGUCGAGCUCAUCCCUCUCGUUCAAGGAGUAGGUGGAGUCCCGGUCUCCACUCGUGCCCUGGGGCUUAAGAGCAGGUAACAGCCGAGGACGAGCACGCGGACUGCGAUACCUAAAAGAAAGAAAGAUCGCCAAGGGAAGGAUAACCCCCACGCAGCAACCGCAGAAGAGAAGGACGUUCCUGUACAGGUCUGAUACGACUACCACUCCUGACCGUUCACACUACGGUACAAGCACUGCACGACGAAGGAAGGUUCGGUAGGGACAGUGCCUCUCCUGGGCGAAAACAAGUAAUAAAAAGGAAGUUUCACAGUCUAAAGUGUCAAUCUUUUGAACGCUGAAACACUUUCAUUUCAGCGUUUGUCCGUUUCUUCCUCUACUAUCGAGUUCCACCUUUUUGGACCCUUCAGUGUCCGAAAUCUCCCUCCCUACAACUAUGUGCCGUGUACAUGGUUCGAAUAGGACGGUGUACAUCGGCGACAUCACCACCGGCGGAGCAGGAACCAAGUCCCUAGUUGAUUAAGUAGGAGCACUGGACGACGAAGGUUCGGUAGAGACAGUACUCUCCUGGACGAAAAAAAUAAUGAAGGGAAGUUUCACAAAUUAAAACGUCAAUAUUUUGAACGCUGCCGUUUCUUCCUCCACUAUUGAGUUCCACCUUUAUUGGACCCUCCAGUGUCCGACUCUCACUCCCUUCAACCAUGGGCGGUUUACAUGCUUCGAAUAGGCUGUGUACAUGCUUCGAAUAGGUCGUCAGGAUGUGUACACAUUGUCGCCGUCACCACCGGUGAAACAAAAAGUCGAGAAGCCGUUCCCUUUGGCCCUAAACCAAGUGAAGUUGUACCUGUAUCCAGUUUAGGCCCAGCUGAUGCGGUACUUGCGGAAGUCAGCGUUCUGGAACAUGAAAUCGUAGUUGUCACCAACAAGUCCGAGUAUUAUCUAGUAGUUUCCAUGUAUCGACCGUAUUGUAUCAAUGUUCGGUAUUGUACUCUAGCGGAGAGGUAUCGAAAGGUAAGGUUGUACGGAGCUGCGUUGUUCGACCACGGGCUCCGUAAGCUUCCGACAUGUCAGUUCUAACAACAACAGAAGACGACCUACGACUUUGUCUGUUCUGUUCGGCACUCUACUGUUCACGUCUCUCGUCUCAACACCGAACGCCUUUUAGACUCUAAGAGUUUUUCAUUUAACCAUAUACACCAACAGCUCUUCUGUAAGCUUAUACCGUAUGUGGUUCCUUUUACGAAACAUGCGCUUAUAAAUUUUUUAUACCGAGGCCUUGAUGAAACAUCCAGUCACAAUAGCAUAUAAUAUAAAUUAUAUAUUUAUGCAUAAUCAAUUCUGUACUAAAAGCAUACAUAAGUAGAGUUGUUAGUAUGUAUCGAUG
This 1669-nucleotide ribosomal RNA is filed under the name Triticum aestivum (bread wheat). Its description in RNAcentral is "partial small subunit ribosomal RNA". The record is from RNAcentral. Lineage: Eukaryota; Viridiplantae; Streptophyta; Magnoliopsida; Poales; Poaceae.